UAGCAAGUGCCUCCCUCGACAUGGUUAGUGAAGAUUAACAAUCUUCGGGGGUUGAGUAAGAAUGGGUUGGGCUCUGAACAAGCUAACUUAGUUUGAGAUGUGAACUUGGGUGAACUGAUGAGUGCAGGUGCAUGCCCUAUAUAUACUAACAAUCAAAGUGCUGAAGGCAUUCAUGAUAUCAGGAGUUAUGAGCUCCAGACGCCUUGGAAUCUAACUUUAAGGUAGAGUAUGAUAUUGGUCGCCAUCACUGGAAAUAUUUAGGCCUGUCCACUCUAAGCCUACACUAAUUGAAGGAGUGUCCAAUGCAAUUCCACAUCGAUGGAAUAAAAUCUGAUGGCCACGCUUUCUUAUUCCCUAUAUCUGGAACCCUAGACAUGAUGCGUUCCUAAUGAAAAGUUGAUUGCCUUUUUGACUUGUCUUUCAGAUUGACAACUGUUCUUCAGGCUCAACAAGAAAAUUCCCUCCCUCUUCCUCAAUAAUAGUUCUAGGCAAAUGGGAUACGUAAGCAUCAAAAGGCCAAGUACCUCCCCGUGUUAUAUUUCGCUGCUGUAUACUCCCUCCGUCCGGAAAUACUUGUCGUAGAAAUGGAUACAAAUGGAUGUAUGUAGAACUAAAAUACAUCUAGAUACAUCCAUUCCUCGGACAAGUAUUUUCGGACGGAGGGAGUACAAGUUAGAGCAUACAUACUACAAACGAUUUUAUUUUAUCGGUAUUGCAGCCAUGAUCUACUAAUUAAUAUGAACGGCAAAAGUGGUUUUUCAACCAUGAUUGGUUGGGAAUAUUAUCAUACCACAACGAUAUAAAGUGGUUACGGAUUUCUAUCGACACCUGUUCAUUGCCGUCUCCUAAUUUAAUAUUUUGUCUCUUGAUAGUGCUUUUAUCGAGUAGUGGCUUUUGAAGCUAAUUAGUGGUACAGGUGUGUGGUUUAUUUCAAUUCAUCCCGACAUCUAGAAUACAGAACCAAGCCUAGUUCAUCCUUAAAAAACUAGAGUGGUAGUUUAGAUGAUGAUGAGGUGGCAUAUUGACUUUAUAUUUUUGUUUCAUAUAUUCUCUGAUAUGAUUGUUCAUUGGUCUUUCAAUCGAGAUCUAGCCCAGGGGACUAAACGCUCAAACAGGCAUAAUGUGACUAAGGCCCAGCAGUUGAGUUUGAAAUGACAAUUUCAGCACAGCCAUUUUUCUUUUCGGAAAACCAACAAACAAAGUUUGAACAGUAACUAUAUCUGUGCUGGACUUGCAGUGUCAUUGAAACUGAAAUUCAAAUGCAUUUUUGCUUAUCUAUCCAAUAGGUGAACCUAUAAAUUCUUUUGUUUUUGGUCCUGAAAAUUAGUCAUUCCCCACUCCUAUAAUUAUAUAAUAUUGUCAUCCUUCAUAUCAUGCUAUCAUCAGCGACAUUCUGUCACUUAACUAAUUUUUAUGUACCAUUAAACUGAAAGCUCCUUGGGUAACUAUCGUCAGGAUACAAGCUUCCACGCCAAAUUCAAAGAUUCAUUCAACAGACACUGAUUGCGAUAUAUGCGAUGUAUCGCGCAUGUGCUGCUAGCUAAUUUUCGACGAAGUUCUUUGUACUCCGUACGUCUCGCCCAGCUUGCCUAACAGAAUAUGAUCUCUAAGGAGUGAGGGAAUAUGCCUGCGGAGCUGAUGGGCUUUAGAUAAAGAGAAGGCGGAAAGCAAGAGAGAGAUAAGUUGCAGAGCGCAGGCCUGUUGAGCUGAACUGGAGAAUCCUCUGUGAUUUCUCAAGUUCUCACAUUAAUCGAUGCAGGGGUUCCAGAAAUCAGAGUGAAAGCUCAUCAUCUUAUCAUAUCUUUCAUGUCAUCUGGAGCAAAUAAACACUACUCCGGAAAUUGAACCGGAGUAACGCCUGAAAGGUGCUAUUCUCGUCCAUCAACUGGUUGGUUAUGGAUUACAUGGAUUUCUGUAGCUUUCACGGCACAAGGAGCAUAUCUGCAAAUGGAAGCCGGAUCAGAUCAGUAUACUGGAUAGAUGGAAGCUCUCUGACCGUUAGAUAUGCAUGCCACUUUUGGGGAAAGGGGCGGAGCAGGAAAGGCAACGAGGCCGGUUACGUGGACGCAGCGAACGUCAGGCUGGAGGAAGCAUCCACGGACCCAACUGUGUCUGGCAUGAUAAUCUUGACCGGAGAUGGAGCAGACAAUGAGCCAUCCGCCCAUCCCCCUUCACGUGGCGCGGCAUCCCAUUCGGCAUCCGCCCGAUGGGACUCACCGAAAUGAAAGUCGCCGACGCCGGCCCUCCCGCCGGGAUUCUGGAAAUGGACCAGCAAGAAUCGCCGGAGAGGAUGGUGUGGGAGGGCAAAGCUGCUGAAAACGGCAAAAAAGAUUGUUCCUCCGCCAUUGGCUGGCUGGAUCAGAAAAUGACACUUGUUAGCGCCAAAAGUCCUUGUCGAGAUUGUUCUCCUGCCAUUGGCUCGUUGGAUCAGAAAACGACGCUAGUUAGGAGUACUGAAGAUCAUUGUCUGUGCUCAGGAUGCAUGGAGGUCUCAUGGCAAAGCAAACGUACGUACGUGGACAGCAACUGUCCUCUGGCUGAGCUGUGCGCCUACAGUGUCACCACCCAAAUUCAUUUUUUAUAUUGAAGUUAAAUGCUUAUUCUUCUCGAAAUGGGCUUGUUAGCACUAAAAGCAAACUAAUUUUAUUUCACUUUUGCCGGCCUUAGCUUUUGACAAUGUAUCACAAUUGCCCCUCUAAAAAUUUUGUUUAUGCCACUUGAAUGAUAAUUGUCAAAAGCUAAGGCCUCCUUUGGUUUAGAGGAAUGUUGUAGGAAUUUCAUAUGAUAGGAUUUCUAUAGGAAAAAUUCCUU
Molecule: long non-coding RNA, 2811 nt
Organism: Triticum aestivum (bread wheat)
Lineage: Eukaryota; Viridiplantae; Streptophyta; Magnoliopsida; Poales; Poaceae
Exons: 4
Source: RefSeq, a predicted model, not a curated record